UAAUAUAUAUUUACCAAAUAAAACCAAUCUCUCUGACACAAACUUUCUGUCUGCUUAAUGUUUUGCUGUUAUAGGUUCUUGAGCAAAGGCAAGCUGAGGAUUCUUUUCAACCACUAGAUCACCGUUCAAAAGAGACUGCGCUUCACUCGGCUUGUCUGAAUCAACCACAUUCAGGGGCAGAGCCUCAGUUGUCUCGCUAGGCAAGGUACUAUCCUCUUCAUUGGUUGCUGGUAUUGCAAUUUUCUGUUCCUUUGUAGCAUUGGAUGACUUGACAUUUUUUUUUGUCGCACUAGAUACGGUCUUUUCAACCUUCCUUGCUUCAGAUGAAGCGGGCACAGUCUUUGAAUUUGAUGAAUUGAGCCUCCUAGUAGCAAGUUGAGCCGGAAGAGAUCUUCGUAGUGGCUUCGUUGGAUGGACAAGAGUAACUCCUUUAGUAGGAGGAUUAUUGCCCUGAGACAUUUUCUCGUUGAAAGUUAAACGACCUUGUUUAGAACUGCUGCUAGUGUUUCCAUCCGACUCAGAAUUGAUUGAACUCUUCUUGCGACCAAGCUUGGGAGAUUUAGGUCUUGUAGUCGGUAUCUACAUUAGUAAUGUCCAAAUACUAAAAAAAUUUAACUUCCCAAAUGAGAUAACAAAACUUGCCGACUCAAAACAAAAGACAAGGAUCAAUUGGUCCAGACACCAGAAAAAAAGCAUAAUAAAUAAACAAAAGCUAUUCUUGUUCACAAUGACAUGUCAAAUGAGCAAAAUGAGGAAGGCAAACUCAAUUCAAGAGUUAAAAAGGCAUUAGAAAAGAUUUUCAAACACUUCCACAACAUUCAAAUAUUUAUUGAUAGAAAGUGGUUAUGAAAAGAAUUUGCACUCAGCCACAAGAUAUUCGAGGCCGGCAAAUUGAACACUCCUACGGCCCCAUUUAAGCAUCUAACUGAUAAAAGGGCUAGUUUAAAAUAUUGACCAAGUCUAAGUCACAUCAGUUAAGAUGCAGUCAAUCAGCUUAUUAACCUUCAGUUUGUGCAUAAGACAAAAAGACCACACCUAACGGAGUAGUUAAUAAGUGAAUUUACAUAAAACCAGUUGAGUUCAAACAUUUUGUAAUCACAGUUCAAAUACCUAUGAGUGAAAAGAAAACUUUCAUCAGCUAAAAGAACUCUUUACCAAUUGUUUUCAGAAGAUUGUUGUAUGCUUUGUCUCUCUGAAGCCACAUGCAAUAUGUGGGUGUGUUUGCAUCUGUGCACAUUCACAUAGCAGCAAACCCAUAGAAAAACAUACACUACAUAUGGCUUCGAAGCACAUAAUAAACUUCUGGAAACAAUUAGUGCAGACACAUGCAUGUAAUCAAAUGGAGAGGGGUACUCCCAAACACACACACACAUAUAUAUAUAUAGAGAGAGAGAGAGAUGUACCUUCUUAAGCUCCACCUUAGGAGGAGGCUCCUGAUAGAAAGUUGGCAAAGGAGUUGCUUUAAAUGUUAGACUCUUCCGAAGCAUCUUCAUCUCGGCUUCUUGUGACUCCUAUACAAGGAAUGUAAGUUUGAAUUAAAAGGCAAAAUAUACAACAUACAUUUCAGCCCCAGAUACAAAAGAAAAAAAAUUCACCUUGGAUUUUGCUUGCAAGUUACUCUUUUCCAUCUCCUUUGCAUGAAUCUUUUCCUCAACUUUACUGUAGAACUGCUCGCAAAAAUAUCAAUUUUUUUUUGUUAACUAUGAGCUUAUUCAAAAGAAACCUGGGCAAGGACAUAAGUAUGCUUAAAGGAGUAUUAACUAUUUACCUCUCUUCUUCUCUCAGCUCUUUCACCACACCUGAAACUGAAUCCAUAAUUUGGAAGUGUUCCCACCUUGCGAGGUUUCGCGUCUUCUGCAUUAGUACUUCUAAGUGGAUUAAGGAUAAACCAAAAUAAUACAAAGCAUCACACUCAACAUUUAAAUGUAAAGAAAUCUGCAGCAGUUCCCAACUUCUCAUAAAGAAAGGAUACGGAGACAAUUCUGAUUCUCCUUGAACUUUAUCAACAGCUCCUUUUUUCAAUGAUUUUGGUUCCGUCUUCUCCCUUUACCCAAUAUAUCACAGUCCACCAAUCAGAUAAUUACAGUAAAUAAUUUCAUCACGUGUUUUAAUGAUGGAAUAUUACACAUAAAAGCAAGCAUUACAUACGUAGCUACUUCAGAAGACGCUGCAUCGGAAUUUGAAGGGUGCUGAGAGAAAUAAAGCUCAAAAACUAUCAGUGAUCACCUAGACUAUAAUUUUUAUUACCAAAGUAUAAAACGAUAAAACAAACAAAACGAAGCACGACUAUCGACAAUAGUUUACCUUGACCAAUUGAGUCUGGCGACCAUUGAAUGAUUUGUUUUUAAUAGGCUGUCUUGUGUGAGAAUCUAAAGCCGAUGUACCAAUUGAAACAGCAGAUGAUGUCUCUUUAUCUUUAGCAUUUUUGUUCCUUUUCACCAAACUUGCAUGAACAACACUGGAAGUAGUGGUCUUUGCACUCUUAUUCUUAAUAGGACCCUUAGAUGCUUUUAAUUGUCCUGUUUGAUUUGUGAUUUUCACUUCCUCUUCCUAGAAUCGAGCUAAUACAUGAGAUCCAAAAAAAAAAACGAACUUGACGAAACCAAGUCUAGGAAAACAAAAUCCUCUCACCUUAGAAAGGUUCACAUUGUUGCUAUCGGAGACUUCAAUUACUGCCACGGAUGAGUUCCGAGUUUCAAAAUUGGCAUUUGAAGCUACAAUUUCUGUACUUUCAAUAACAUUGAUGUCUAAAUCAUUCAAAACAACGCUAUCUUCUCCAGAAUUAGAAGGGUCCUGGUGAACACUAUUUCGGUGAACCACUUCGAGGCCAUCAACAACGGGUGAAAGAGUACUUGUAUCCAUCAUCAAUCACACUAAGCUAAAAGUUACACAGAAACAAUGAAAUGCAGCUCAGAGAUCAACACUAAAUACAAGAAAAAAACCAUUAGAAACAAAUUUAUACUUGUUAAACCUCAACAUGUGUUAACCAUCCCUAUUGCUAUUAACCAGAACAAUUUCGAAAAGCUUCUAAACAAAUUCUCUCAUUUUUCAAUUAUUGAAAUAAAAAAAGCCGAGUACAAGAGGCUCCUAUGGGGCCUCGGCAGAUAUAUGUACACAAUCUUACUCGAAAGACUAAACCUGCCUAUGUGUGCUUAAUGUUGUACAUAGCCGAUCCUAAGCAGGAUAGAAGGUGAGGGUUGUAUUAGGUAGUCGACAACCAAUGUAAAAUUUUGUCGAAUUUGUAUGAUAUGAAUUAAAAAUAUGAGUCUUACCGAAAAGACUAUAUCGAGAUUUGAACACAUGACCUGGAGGUGAGAAAAUAGUGUAAUGGUAAGUUAGUUACCAUAAUUAAAAGUACCUGGUGAAUACGACAUCGUAUGGAUUGAAGAAGACAAGAGUUGAAGAGAAGAAAAGAGAGAUCUGGCUUCCUCGGAUCAUCCAAACACACCAAACUCAUCAUUUUAUUUUAUUUAUUUAUCCUUUUUUAUAAUUAUCAUUAUUUAAUUAUUUAAUUUACUUAAUGAAUAAUUAUAAUACUAUGGGAAUAGCGGUUAUCAAAUGCAGGUUUGGUUGGAAUGGGAAUGAGUCACAUGUAGAGUGCUUUCUAUUAUUUCCUUAUUAUCAUAAUAAACAUUCUAAUGCCGUUGGUUUAAGGGGUAAAUGUUUGAUUUCCCUUAAUAAAGUUUAAAGUUCGAGUUUUGUGGAUGGAAAAAAUGUCCGUUAGAAUAGUUAACUCCAUGAACUUGUGGAUGUUCCCGACUCGGACAAGAUUACCGAUAUUUACACACUAUUAGUACUGGUGUGGUGGUAAGUACUUCGUGUCUAUCUGCCUAUAUUUUUAUUUUCUGAUGUUAAAGAUUUAAGUGUUUUUUAUAUUUUAUUUUGGUGAAUCAUAAUUUUUUUUAUUAAAUGUAAUUUAUAUUAUAAUUUUUAUAUGGUACACUUUAUAUUUUCAAAUUAAUGUGAUUUAAGUCUUAAAUGUAUUUUUUUUAUUUUAAUUAUCAAAUCAAGGUAAUGAGUGAUUAAUAUGUUGACGAUUAUUACAUAUGAUUAUAUAUUUUUUGUAGAAUUAAAAAGGGUUAAAAACAAAAUAGGAAACGAAAAAUUAUACCAUAUAAUAGUUAUAUCAUGUUUUCCCUUUGUAUAAAAUAUAAAUAGUACAUAUAAAAAGUCUAUAUAUAAUCAUUGUAUUAUUUAAAAUUAACUUUAAACUACUUUUUAAAAAAAUCAAUAAUAAUUAAAUAUGAAUAUUAGAUAAUACAAUAACUACAAAUAAAACUAAUAAGUAUAUACUUCUUUCUCUCAUCAAAAAAUAUAUGAACUUUUUAUGAGUUUCUCUAAUUGAUAAUAAAGAAUUGACAGAGAGCGGUUAGCAUUGAAGCUGUGUUGAUGAUUGAGAGGUGGAAUGUGGGGUACCAUCAAAUAACACACGGUUUUUGCGGUUUCCUACCUCAUCCACCUGCACACGGUUUUUAAACUAUCAUCCAUCAAUCAUAAACUUUAUCUAUUAUGACGUAUCGAUUGUCAUUUCGUGUAUGUCGACCUAUAUUCUUAUUUUUACUAAAUAUUUAAUUUUCACAUAUUUUAUUUUAGAGAAUUAUAUUACGUCUUGUGAGUAUAGAGAAUAUUAUAGUUUGUGUAAUAGAAAAAAUGAGAUAAUGAAUUAUGAUAUUACUAGAACUUACAUUAAAAAUUGCAUUGGUAAUUUGAUAUUUUGUGUGCAUGUCACUUACUUUCUGUGAUCUGGAUGUUUCUAAAUGUGCUAUCACUGAUUCUGGAAUUGCAGUCCUGGCUGAUGCAGAACAGUUCAAUCUGCAGGUUCUUUCUAUAUCAGGCUGCACUUUGGUUUCUGAUUGGAGCUUGCCCGCAUUGAGAAAAUUAGGUCACACUCUCUUAGGACUAAACAUCCAGCAUUGCAAUGCAAUCAGCAGCAGCACAAUUGACAUGCUUUUGGAACUUCUUUGGAGGUGUAAGAUCCUCUCCUGAGCGGGAAGACUUAAUCUCUCUCUCUCUCUCUCUCUUUCUCUGUAGAUUAAGUCAGGAUCGGAACGGAAAUCUCGUACUGGUUUUAUGAUGUGUUCAGCAGUAGUUUUUGGGUCCAUUACAGUGGGUCUUGAUCAUCCAGUAACUCGGUUUGAACCUUUUUUCAGAGCAUGCAGCCAUUCAACUUUUUUACUUUAGCAGGUUUCCUUCAAUUCGGAAUCUGUUCAAAGUUUUUUUGGUAUCCAAGCCACUUUUUAAAUGACUGCAUUGCCUCUGAUAACAUAGUUACCAGGUUCUGGAGUUAAAAUCUUUCUUACUAUGAUGUUUUUUUUUGCUUACCAAACAUAUCAAUGUUUGGGUCUCACUUUUAUUCAAAGUGUCAAUAUAUGUUGUUAGGGUUGCUGAAGUUGUCAAGUGUGGAGUUAUGAAGCCUUGUUUUGAGGGGAUUUGGCUGUGGCAGCAAGUUAUACAGUCCUGCCAUCACAAUCUUCUUCUCAUUUUGGGAAGGAUUGUUUUUUAUACCAAGUCCCUAGUUUUUUAAGGCUUCAUUUUUUAUGAGCUUGUAAUUGCAACUUCUUCCUUAUUGUGCAAUGAUGUUAUACAUUCUGCCCUUUGUGUUGUAUGCUAUAUUAUGAGAAGUAAUGGAAUAAAAUUUGUAGUUUCAUUGUAAAACUGGAUAAUCUUUCUGUACUUUGAUUGUAUUGGUUUGUCCACAAAAGGUAGCUCAAUUGGAUAAACUGGAAAUAUUAUUGUAUUAGGAGUCACUCUUAUAAUAUCUAAUUGCUAUUUAGAUUACCAAUAUGGCAUUGAUCUAGUGGCUCGGUAGAUUCAUAGGAUGACUAAAAGGUCAAGGGAGUUCUUAUACCUAACUUCAAUUGAUUAAAACUAUUGAUAUCAUCAAAUUCAUUAACCCACCAUGGUUUUAUAUAAUAUGUUUCAACUUUCAACUAAUACAAGGCAAGUGGUGCUUUAUAUUGGUGGCCAUUAUGAGACUUAAAAAUGGAACAUGCACUUCACAUGCAUUGUCAUGUAAAACUAUGAUUCAUGCACACUCACCAAAUAUAUAAUAAAAGAAAAAAGAUCAUUCAUGAUUCAAGCACCAUUAUGAAAGUCUCCACAUGACUUCUAAGUCUCCACAUGACUUAACAUAAGAAGCUUCCCUCUACAUUCCUGGUGAAGGAGAACACAUUUUCUGUUCCAAAAAAUGUGUCACUAUUCCAUGUAUCACUUGGUAUAAUUUGUUAAGAAAAAUAUAUUUAAAUUAAAAUUUUAAUAAUUAAGUAUUUUUUUGACCAACCAGAACAAAUGUCGCAUGGAGUGAGACAUUUUGUGAGACAGAAGAUGUAUUCCUUUUUUUCCCUCCUUAAAUAGUAAAAGCCUAUACAAUAAACACAGGAGUUAAGUUACAACACAAACAGCUUCUUUCAUGUCAUAAUGCCAAUUGAUGUAUUGAACCAUGAAAAGGGUAAACUUUCUCAAAUUUUUCAUUAACAUAAACUAAAAUAACUUGCAGAACAGUUACAUACAUUGUUGCAAGCAAAAAAGAGAAUCAUAAGGACCAAACCAGCAAUCUUGAGAGUAAUAAAAACAUACAAAAAGAAACAAUGCUGCUGAGAUAAGAUGACAACACAAACCAGGCAAAUCUGCAAACUCUUGAUGUCAAAUAAUCUUUCAUAUGCUUUUAUAAUAUAUAUUUACCAAAUAAAACCAAUCUCUCUGACACAAACUUUCUGUCUGCUUAAUGUUUUGCUGUUAUAGGUUCUUGAGCAAAGGCAAGCUGAGGAUUCUUUUCAACCACUAGAUCACCGUUCAAAAGAGACUGCGCUUCACUCGGCUUGUCUGAAUCAACCACAUUCAGGGGCAGAGCCUCAGUUGUCUCGCUAGGCAAGGUACUAUCCUCUUCAUUGGUUGCUGGUAUUGCAAUUUUCUGUUCCUUUGUAGCAUUGGAUGACUUGACAUUUUUU
RNAcentral lists this long non-coding RNA (6947 nucleotides) under Lupinus angustifolius (narrow-leaved blue lupine). RNAcentral's name for it is "long non-coding RNA (LANG_LNC000560)". Lineage: Eukaryota; Viridiplantae; Streptophyta; Magnoliopsida; Fabales; Fabaceae. The record is from RNAcentral.